GAUUUAAUCUGGGCCGUCCAUUGCGAUUAAAUCUGGGCCGUCCGUACUUGAUUGAAUCUGGGUCGUCCGUGCGCGUGCAUCUGGGCCUUCCGUGCGCACGCUUGAUCUGGGUCGUCCGUGCGCGCGGGGACGCAUCUGGGUCGUCCAAUCGCGCGCACGCGGAUCGCCCACGUGGCCCGUUCUCGGGUCGGCGUGGCCUUGCCACGCAGUAGGUCCUGGUUGGCCAGGGCUGGUGACUGGGCCGCUGACGUGGUUGCUGACGUGGCGCUGACGAGAUAUAAUUUUUCUAAAUUGCAUUUUGACCCCCGG
Molecule: long non-coding RNA, 309 nt
Filed under: Carica papaya (papaya)
Lineage: Eukaryota; Viridiplantae; Streptophyta; Magnoliopsida; Brassicales; Caricaceae
Description: long non-coding RNA (CPAP_LNC006541)
Source: RNAcentral